This 254-nucleotide ribosomal RNA is filed under the name uncultured bacterium. Its description in RNAcentral is "partial 16S ribosomal RNA". It matches the Rfam family "Bacterial small subunit ribosomal RNA", at positions 524 to 776 of the family's 1533-position model. The record is from RNAcentral.
UACAGAGGUCCCGAGCGUUGUUCGGAUUCAUUGGGCGUAAAGGGUGCGUAGGCGGCGGGGCAAGUCUGAUGUGAAAUCCCGGGGCUCAACCCCCGGAACUGCAUUGGAUACUGCCUUGCUAGAGUACUGGAGAGGGAACUGGAAUUUACGGUGUAGCAGUGAAAUGCGUAGAGAUCGUAAGGAAGGCCAGUGGCGAAGGCGAGUUCCUGGACAGUUACUGACGCUGAGGCACGAAGGCCAGGGGAGCAAACGGG